Molecule: long non-coding RNA, 1209 nt
Organism: Galeopterus variegatus (Sunda flying lemur)
Lineage: Eukaryota; Metazoa; Chordata; Mammalia; Dermoptera; Cynocephalidae
Exons: 2
Source: RefSeq, a predicted model, not a curated record
UUGGGGAGAAGCUGGGAGGCAAACUGGCUGGAGCCUGGGAUGUGACCUUGGCCAUUGGCCAUAGCAUAGGAACUUAUUCUCUCAGAACCUAGUCCUGGCCCCAUCUCAGGCCUGUGACUCAGCCAGCGCUGAGCAAGGCUUUCCUGACCCCACCAGCCACCCGGCCCAGCUCAGGGACUUCUCCACCCCUGGCUACACCAGGACAUACCCACCUCAGUCACCCAAGUCAUACCCAUCUGUCUAGCCUUUCUGCUUCUCCCUCCCUCCCAGGGACCCGACCAUCCUAGGGGGCAACCCCUCCCUUCCAGAAGAUGUUCCCCUCUGAGACCAGCAGCUCCCCAGCCCCACCCCCAUGUCUUCUUGCUGGCCAUGAAUGUGGAACUGAGGAGGCCUGGGCUGAGCUUGGAGGCCUCACUGGGCCACUGCCUGCAGAGAAAGGGACUUACCCUUUCCCCACCUUGGUUCCUACUGUGUGGGCUCCUUCAAGGUGCCCUUGGCCAUGCAUGGCCUGCGUGACUAUACAGGGCAGCCCUGCCUGUCACACAGUGGGCAGACACUCAGCAAAUGUCCCCAAAUGGAGGGCAGAUGGAGAAAUCAUUGGGCAAUCACAGUACAACGUGAUGAGUGUUCCCUGCAUGCUGGAAUGCACGGAGCUUGUCCUUGGCAACUCUACAGUGGGGAGCAAGGAAAGACCUCCCCCAGCCGCCAGCCCAGAAGACAAAAGCUCAGCAAACUGAAUAUAACUGCCAGGUCACAAGCAGGACAGGCAUGGCUAAGCCCUUGAGAAUGGAUUUUUACACCUUCGGAAGUACCUGUCCCCAAGCCCAAGGGGGCUGGCUGUCUUGUAGAGUCUCCUCCAGGGAAAGCUCCUUUAUAUUCUUAGUCACCUUUCUCAGUUCUUCUCUCAUGGGGCAGUGUUUCCUACUCUCUAACUUGCAUCCCUCCCCUCUUGCUGUAAUUUGAAGCUUGGGCAUGCCAUUCUUCUAGCCUCUCACCUCCCAGAUCAAUGAAACAUUCAGAUGUGUUACAGAAAAGCAAACUGUGGCAGCCAGCGUCUAAGGCUGCCAGUGUUCUUUGCAUCCUGGCAUUCAUGUCCUUCUGUAGUUCCCUCCCACACUGAAUAGGGCUGAUUUAUGUAAUCAAUCGGAUGUUAUAGAAAUGGCAGUGUGUGUCUUCUGAGGUUAAGCCAUAAAAGAUAUUGUGACUUCA